This 200-nucleotide ribosomal RNA is filed under the name uncultured bacterium. RNAcentral's name for it is "partial 16S ribosomal RNA". It matches the Rfam family "Bacterial small subunit ribosomal RNA", at positions 8 to 207 of the family's 1533-position model. The record is from RNAcentral.
AGAGUUUGAUCCUGGCUCAGAAUCAACGCUGGCGGCGUGCCUAACACAUGCAAGUCGAGCGCGAAAGAGGGGUAACUCUCCUAGCGCGGCGAACGGGUGAGUAACGCGUGGGUUAUCUACCUUCGAGUGGGGAAUAACAGCGGGAAACUGCUGCUAAUACCGCAUGACAUCCUCGGGCUUUCGAGCCUGGGGAUCAAAGC